AAUAAAAACAAGCGGAAACUCCACGGAGCUCAUUUCCAUUCCAACCGAGAGAGAGAGAGCUCGAAGCAGUACCCAUCCCCAUCCUUUCUCUGAAAUUAACGGUUUUUAAAUGUUUGUCCAGCGGCUAUUCUCCUGAGGAUGCUUCCCCUCUGGACUGUCUCCUACAAUACACACAAGGGUUACACCGACCACCGGGGAAGUGAACUCGCGGGACACCGUACAGACGCUGUGUCACGAUGAGCGAUGGGACUAAUUCCUCAAGAGGCAGAAAAGCAGCAGAUGCACAUAACCUGGGGACAGGGUGACGGUCCUCCGGUCGCAUUAAAUCUACAAAAUGAGAUGAAGGUGAUCGACGCCUGUGAUGCUGGGUGACUGUCUUCAGUCGCGCUGUCGCAUUGAAUCCACAGAAUCUUCCGCGGAGAUGGGGGCGAUCGUUUGCUGUGACGCCGUUUCCACCAGAGGUCUUAACUGACCAAAGAUGGCCCAAACCUUCCUUGGAUGUCUGAGCGACUGAAGGAGAACAGCGACAACUUCUGUCUUUUUAAUGUUCGUCGCAACUAAAUGCAUCUCAAAUCUCCCUUUUUCAGGUUGGAUGGGAAAGGGAACGUCUGGAUCUUGGAGUCCUUUUUUGAAGGCCAGCCACUGAAGUACAGAAGGUUGGGAGGACUCUGCUGGCUGUGCUUUCCAUCCUCUCCGUCCAGGCGCCGGUGAUUAUUACCUGGUUGAACAACCAGUGGCUGCGCUGCAUUGAUUUCUCUACACGGAGGAGUUCUGCGCCGGUCCCCGCUGAUCUAGAUGGGACCGGCCAAAGACAGAGUGGUGAUCGGGAGGAUCUUCCACGUAGUCCAGGAUGACCCGUAUGUAGAUUUUGGUGGGAAGUUCCACUGCGUUUGCGUUUGACGAAGAGAAGCUACAGCGGGGCAGCAAAGUCAGUCUGCGGCUGCAGGAUCUGGAGCUCGCUGCCGGUUUCCUGGGAGCCAAAACCGACACCACGCUGCUGGAGUCCCGGGGCCCUCUGGAGGGAAGGGAAGUCCAGGAGAACCAGGACUGAGCGGACUGUCGCAGCCUGCUGAAGUUUAAAUCUCAGGUUUCCUAAAGGGAGUCUGGCGGGGACUCGGACUGUGGAUGUCAAAACAUGACUUUAAGUCUUGUUAGAUAAAUAAAUACAUGCAGAAAUAAAUGAAUAAAUAGUGGAGGAGUGAACCUGGACAUUUCAGUCUGUUGCUGCUU
This is a long non-coding RNA of Perca flavescens (yellow perch), 1230 nucleotides long. RefSeq lists it as uncharacterized. Lineage: Eukaryota; Metazoa; Chordata; Actinopteri; Perciformes; Percidae. The record is from RefSeq and is a predicted model, not a curated record. The transcript is spliced from 8 exons.